UUUUUUUUUUUUGUGUUUCCAAAUCAAGCAAUGAUAAUAUUUUGUUUGCUGUCCUGUUUUCUCUAUUUUGGCUUGGCUACUAGUCUUCCUGACUUCAUUGGAAAUCUUGGCAAUUGGUUUCUCGUUUAGCUUGCUCUGCAAUCUAUCUUAGUAACGUGGGAACCAAAUUUGAAACUUGAAAGCUUCCCAGAUACAACUUAAAUAAACUCCAAAACUCCACAUCAUAUAAGUUGAAGAUGAUGCUGGUAGAGAUCCCAGAAACUCUUUUUCGAAAAUGGAUUUAGGGUCUUUUAUUUAUUAUAUCUCAGCAAAACUAGCCCAUCAUUUUGUAACCAACCACAUAGGUCCGGUCAUCGUCAUCCGGGUGACCCGACCACCCGAAUUGCAGCAAGCGUACAACCAUUCGAAGAACCGGCGGCUCUGCUGUACGCGAUGGUGAAACCAUGAAAGGAGUAGUUUCGUGUCAAAUACACAAAUGGUGCACAAAUAUCAUUGCAAGGUGUAUUUGAAUAGUUUGUGUACCGUUUUAAGUUAUAUGUUCUCUUAAUUAUGUAUCAGCAUGAGCUCUUUCUUCGUAGAGUACCAAGAGUAUAUUCAUGGCAGUAGAGUUUUGAUGUUAAUUCUUUGCAUUGAAUAUUAAAGGGAAUCUGUAGCGGCAGUUAAGACGAUCUUUAGGCACGGUCUUUUAUCUUUGAAUAGGUGUGUGCGGAGCCUGAGGGGCAAUUAAAAGUGUCAUAGAAUAGAGCAAGGCUGCUGGGUGCUUGGUAGAGUAGCGGCUAUUGGUUGCAAUUCAUCGUUUUACACCCCUUUCCUUUCUGUAUUUCUAUAUGUUAGUUGAAAAGAGACAUUAGCUCUCACUAUGCGUUGAGCUGGGUUUUGAUUAAUUUCUUCAAGUUGCAUGAACUCUUCUGCGUCGUUGUUGAGUUGAGUUGUUCUGUAGCGUUAUUGCUCGAUAGGUCCUCUUCGAUUAGCUUCAUUAUAGUAUUUAGUUAUAUGCAGUAAUGAAUCUUCUCACUAAUCAAUCUAGAAUUGUUCGUGAGGGUGUAUUUUAUUUUCAUAAUGUCAGCAGAUUUAAUUCAGUGAAGCAAAAAAAUUUCUUCUUAGCUAGGUUUGGGAGAAGCACAAGAAAUAUGGCUUUGACAAACUUCAUACUGACAGUGGCGGGUGUGAGUGCUGUAGUUCUUUUAUUGAGGAGUGAUGUGAAACAGUCAGCUACCAUAUUUAGGCGGAACGUCAAACAUAUCCGCAAGUGGCUUGAAGAAGAAUCCAAGGCAGUCCCGAAGGAACUUGAAACAAAGGUUCCGCCGAAGGAUGUUCCCAAGGAGGACAAACACUAGUAUGGACAUGGGCACCCCGAGUGGUUCGCAGGAGUUUUAGUUAUUUUGGGAUCAGUCUUUGGAUUUUAUGUUCAUAAAUUGCUUAUCAUGCUUUUCCUAGUAGUUUUGGGUUUUUAGAUAUACUGAUUGUAACUAGUAACUACCGCGGGAGCUAUAUUUUCCUAAUCUGAGGUACCCUUCUCUAGGCAAGCUUAUCUUUGGAAGAGUGAUAUCCAUGGUUUUGCCACAAAUUGUAUGCCAUCUCCAGUGCACAAGAUUUUUAUUUUCCAAGAUUUGCUUGGUUCUGCAGUAAACUUUCUCCCCAGUUCUAGCUGCAUGUAGUUAUGUGAUUGGUAUUGGCAAUAAAAUAUCGAGUUACAUGAGGCACCAA
Rosa chinensis is the source of this 1707-nucleotide long non-coding RNA. RefSeq lists it as uncharacterized. NCBI's taxonomy places the organism in Eukaryota, Viridiplantae, Streptophyta, Magnoliopsida, Rosales, Rosaceae. The transcript is spliced from 3 exons. The record is from RefSeq and is a predicted model, not a curated record.